GACGAACGCUGGCGGCGCGCUUAACACAUGCAAGUCGAACGGAAAGGCCUGCUUUCCCUUGUGGAUUGCGGGUACUCGAGUGGCGAACGGGUGAGUAACACGUGAGUGAUCUGCCCCCAACUUGGGUAUAAGCCUGGGAAACUGGGUCUAAUUCCGUUAGGACCGGAGGGGGGUGCCUGUGGUGGAAAACGGUUUUCUAGGGGUUGGGGAUGAGCUCGCGGCCUAUCAGCUUGUUGGUGGGGUAAUGGCCUACCAAGGCGGCGACGGGUAGCCGGCCUGAGAGGGUGGACGGCCACAUUGGGACUGGGAUACGGCCCAGACUCCUACGGGAGGCAGCAGUGGGGAAUAUUGCACAGUGGGCGGAAGCCUGAUGCAGCGACGCCGCGUGGGGGAUGACGGCCUUCGGGUUGUAAACUCCUUUCGACCGCGAGGAAGCCACCUGGUUGGAAGGGUGGUGACGGUAGUGGUAGAAGAAGCACCGGCUAACUACGUG
This 493-nucleotide ribosomal RNA is filed under the name uncultured bacterium. Its description in RNAcentral is "partial 16S ribosomal RNA". It matches the Rfam family "Bacterial small subunit ribosomal RNA", at positions 28 to 507 of the family's 1533-position model. The record is from RNAcentral.